RNAcentral lists this ribosomal RNA (250 nucleotides) under uncultured bacterium. Its description in RNAcentral is "partial 16S ribosomal RNA". It matches the Rfam family "Bacterial small subunit ribosomal RNA", at positions 524 to 776 of the family's 1533-position model. The record is from RNAcentral.
UACGGGGGGGGCAAGUGUUCUUCGGAAUGACUGGGCGUAAGGGCACGUAGGCGGUGAAUCGGGUUGAAAGUGAAAGUCGCCAAAAAGUGGCGGAAUGCUCUCGAAACCAAUUCACUUGAGUGAGACAGAGGAGAGUGGAAUUUCGUGUGUAGGGGUGAAAUCCGUAGAUCUACGAAGGAACGCCAAAAGCGAAGGCAGCUCUCUGGGUCCCUACCGACGCUGGGGUGCGAAAGCAUGGGGAGCGAACAGG